GACGAACGCUGGCUGCGUGCCUAAUACAUGCAAGUCGAGCGGAAGUUUGACAGCUUGCUCUUCAACUUUAGCGGCGGCCGCGAGAGUAACACGUGGGCAACCUGCCCGGCAGAUCGGGAUAACUCGCGGAAACCCGUGCUAAUACCUACUCGUUUUCGCCACCUCCUGUUGGCGUACGGAAAGACGGUUUCGCCUGUCACUGUAGGAAGGGCCCGCGGCGCAUUAGCUAGUUGGUGGGGUAACGGCCCACCAAGGCGACGAUGCGUAGCCGACCUGAGAGGGUGAUCGGCCACACUGGGACUGAGACACGGCCCAGACUCCUACGGGAGGCAGCAGUAGGGAAUCUUCCGCAAUGGACGAAAGUCUGACGGAGCAACGCCGCGUGAGUGACGAAGGUUUUCGGAUCGUAAAACUCUGUUGUGAGGGAAGAACAAGUACCAACUAACUACUGGUACCUUGACGGUACCUCACCAGAAAGCCACGGCUAACUACGUGCCAGCCGCCGCCGUAA
RNAcentral lists this ribosomal RNA (511 nucleotides) under uncultured bacterium. RNAcentral describes it as "partial 16S ribosomal RNA". It matches the Rfam family "Bacterial small subunit ribosomal RNA", at positions 28 to 523 of the family's 1533-position model. The record is from RNAcentral.